UACGUAGGGUGCAAGCGUUGUCCGGAAUUAUUGGGCGUAAAGAGCUCGUAGGCGGUUUGUCGCGUCUGCUGUGAAAACUCGGGGCUUAACUCCGGGCCUGCAGUGGGUACGGGCAGACUAGAGUGCGGUAGGGGAGACUGGAAUUCCUGGUGUAGCGGUGAAAUGCGCAGAUAUCAGGAGGAACACCGGUGGCGAAGGCAGCCCCCUGGGUCAAAACUGACGCUCAUGCACGAAAGCGUGGGGAGCAAACAGG
Molecule: ribosomal RNA, 253 nt
Filed under: uncultured bacterium
Lineage: Bacteria
Description: partial 16S ribosomal RNA
Rfam family: Bacterial small subunit ribosomal RNA
Source: RNAcentral